RNAcentral lists this non-coding RNA (504 nucleotides) under Neolecta irregularis DAH-3. RNAcentral's name for it is "Bacterial large subunit ribosomal RNA". It matches the Rfam family "Bacterial large subunit ribosomal RNA", at positions 727 to 1211 of the family's 2925-position model. The record is from Rfam by way of RNAcentral. Lineage: Eukaryota; Fungi; Ascomycota; Neolectomycetes; Neolectales; Neolectaceae.
GAUCUUAUCAUAACCAGGUAUAUAAAUGACCGAACCGGUGUUCGUUGCAAAGAGCUCGGAUGAGUGGUGAUAAGGGGUGAAAGACCAAAUCUAACUAGGAUAUAGCUGGUUUUCCGCGAAAACUAUCUUAGUAGUUAGUCCAUCUUAAACUUUAUAACAGGUACAGCAAGAUGUCUCAUACUUUCGUAUAAAACCGUUAGUUAUAUUUGGGGGUUUGUAGUGACUCUACCUUUGAGAUUUAGACUCGGAAUGGUUUAUAAGAAUAAUGGACAAUCAGACUUACGGUGCUAAGGUCGUAAGUCAAAAGGGAAACAGCCCAGAACAAAUGGUUAAGGUUCCAAAAUUAUUGCUAAGUGAAAUUAAGGUAGUAAUUCUCCCAAUCCACCCAGGAAAUGGGCUCGGAAUCGGCCACUUUUUAAAGAACACGUAAUAGUGCACUGGUUCAGACGAAUGCCAGCCGGGGUUUUUUUUUUAACCCCUCAAAGUUCCACACUACCAGCUAGC